AUUGAACGCUGGCGGCAUGCUUUACACAUGCAAGUCGAACGGUAACAGGGUGCUUGCACCGCUGACGAGUGGCGAACGGGUGAGUAAUGCGUCGGAACACACCGAGUAAUGGGGGAUAACGCAGCGAAAGCUGUGCUAAUACCGCAUACGCUCUGAGGAGGAAAGCGGGGGACCUUCGGGCCUCGCGUUAUUCGAGCGGCCGACGUCUGAUUAGCUAGUAGGUGAGGUAAGAGCUCACCUAGGCGACGAUCAGUAGCGGGUCUGAGAGGAUGAUCCGCCACACUGGGACUGAGACACGGCCCAGACUCCUACGGGAGGCAGGAGUGGGGAAUUUUGGACAAUGGGCGCAAGCCUGAUCCAGCCAUGCCGCGUGUCUGAAGAAGGCCUUCGGGUUGUAAAGGACUUUUGUCAGGGAGGAAAUCCUUAGCGCUAAUACCGUUGAGGGAUGACAGUACCUGAAGAAUAAGCACCGGCUAACUACGUGCCAGCCGCCGCCGUAA
This 500-nucleotide ribosomal RNA is filed under the name uncultured bacterium. RNAcentral describes it as "partial 16S ribosomal RNA". It matches the Rfam family "Bacterial small subunit ribosomal RNA", at positions 30 to 523 of the family's 1533-position model. The record is from RNAcentral.